RNAcentral lists this unclassified non-coding RNA (176 nucleotides) under uncultured Phoma. RNAcentral describes it as "sequence contains ITS1". Lineage: Eukaryota; Fungi; Ascomycota. The record is from RNAcentral.
CCAUUACCUCAACUGGCGGGUUUUAGCGGUGCUUCGGUGCCACUGACUCCCACCUGUUUGACGUUACCCAUGCCUUUUUGCGUACAGUUUGUUUUCCCAGCAGGGCAUUACGCCCCUACGGGAUAUCAAUCCACCCAUUGUAUUUGCAGUCAAUGUCUGAAAAAUAAUAAUAAUUA